This 97-nucleotide non-coding RNA is filed under the name Microbulbifer rhizosphaerae. The record is from RNAcentral. Lineage: Bacteria; Pseudomonadati; Pseudomonadota; Gammaproteobacteria; Cellvibrionales; Microbulbiferaceae.
CGCCUUUGUGAGAAAUCAUAACGGUGACCAGUCAGAAGUCAGCAGAGGUAAUAGUAGUCAAAUGCCGAUCUGUAAUGGGCCGGACACGGCGAAGUAC